RNAcentral lists this microRNA (21 nucleotides) under Medicago truncatula (barrel medic). RNAcentral describes it as "mtr-miR2595". The record is from miRBase by way of RNAcentral. Lineage: Eukaryota; Viridiplantae; Streptophyta; Magnoliopsida; Fabales; Fabaceae.
UACAUUUUCUUCUUUAUGUCU